GAUGAACGCUGGCGGCGUGCCUAAUACAUGCAAGUCGAGCGAACGGACGAAAAGCUUGCUUCUCUGAUGUUAGCGGCGGACGGGUGAGUAACACGUGGAUAACCUACCUAUAAGACUGGGAUAACUUCGGGAAACCGGAGCUAAUACCGGAUGAUAUUUUGAACCGCAUGGUUCAAAAGUGAAAGACGGUCUUGCUGUCACUUAUAGAUGGAUCCGCGCUGCAUUAGCUAGUUGGUAAGGUAACGGCUUACCAAGGCAACGAUGCAUAGCCGACCUGAGAGGGUGAUCGGCCACACUGGAACUGAGACACGGUCCAGACUCCUACGGGAGGCAGCGUAGGGAAUCUUCCGCAAUGGGCGAAAGCCUGACGGAGCAACGCCGCGUGAGUGAUGAAGGUCUUCGGAUCGUAAAACUCUGUUAUUAGGGAAGAACAUAUGUGUAAGUAACUGUGCACAUCUUGACGGUACCUAAUCAGAAAGCCACGGCUAACUACGUG
RNAcentral lists this ribosomal RNA (496 nucleotides) under uncultured bacterium. RNAcentral describes it as "partial 16S ribosomal RNA". It matches the Rfam family "Bacterial small subunit ribosomal RNA", at positions 28 to 507 of the family's 1533-position model. The record is from RNAcentral.